UCCUACGGGAGGCAGCAGUAAGGAAUUUUCGGCAAUGGGGGCAACCCUGACCGAGCAACGCCGCGUGAGUGAUGAAGGUCUUCGGAUCGUAAAACCCUGUUGUAAAGGAAGAAUGUCAUAUAUAGGAAAUGAUAUAUGAGUGACGGUACUUUACUAGAAAGUCACGGCUUACUACGUGCCAGCAGCCGCGGUAAUA
Molecule: ribosomal RNA, 196 nt
Filed under: uncultured bacterium
Lineage: Bacteria
Description: partial 16S ribosomal RNA
Rfam family: Bacterial small subunit ribosomal RNA
Source: RNAcentral